AUUGAACGCUGGCGGCAGGCCUAACACAUGCAAGUCGAACGGUAGCACAGAGAGCUUGCUCUCGGGUGACGAGUGGCGGACGGGUGAGUAAUGUCUGGGAAACUGCCCGAUGGAGGGGGACAACUACUGGAAACGGUAGCUAAUACCGCAUAACGUCGCAAGACCAAAGGGGGGGACCUUCAGGCCUCACACCAUCGGAUGUGCCCAGAUGGGAUUAGCUAGUAGGUGGGGUAAUGGCUCACCUAGGCGACGAUCCCUAGCUGGUCUGAGAGGAUGACCAGCCACACUGGAACUGAGACACGGUCCAGACUCCUACGGGAGGCAGCAGUGGGGAAUAUUGCACAAUGGGCGCAAGCCUGAUGCAGCCAUGCCGCGUGUAUGAAGAAGGCCUUCGGGUUGUAAAGUACUUUCAGCGGGGAGGAAGGCGGUGAAGUUAAUAGCUUCACCGAUUGACGUUACCCGCAGAAGAAGCACCGGCUAACUCCGUGCCAGCCGCCGCCGUAA
This 504-nucleotide ribosomal RNA is filed under the name uncultured bacterium. Its description in RNAcentral is "partial 16S ribosomal RNA". It matches the Rfam family "Bacterial small subunit ribosomal RNA", at positions 30 to 523 of the family's 1533-position model. The record is from RNAcentral.